This is a long non-coding RNA of Pocillopora damicornis (cauliflower coral), 899 nucleotides long. Lineage: Eukaryota; Metazoa; Cnidaria; Anthozoa; Scleractinia; Pocilloporidae. The record is from RefSeq and is a predicted model, not a curated record.
GCUAAGCUCUAGUCCCUUGGUUUUCUAUUUUACUUUAUCAGUUAAAUAUUUUUCGUGAAAGUUCCUUCUAUUUUUUCUUUUUUGAUUCUUUUUUUGGCCUUCGACCAGACGUAAUAUCGUAGGCUUCGCUAAUGAUUAUGAUAAAAAUAACCUGUUUUUUUUAAUCGACAAGGUGUCAAACGUAGAAAAUUGCUCGAGAGGCAGUUACAUAGCCCGGUGACAGGUUGACAAGGGGAAAUCAACUUAAUAAAACCUGAAUUAGCAGUGAAAUUAAAUGGGCAUGAAACUUACAGGAUCCUUAGAUCGAAGCGAAAAAGGACAGAUCACUCUUUCGACAAGCAAACCCUAAGGCUACCCGUGGAAAAACUGUUUUGAUAAUUUUGCUACAAGAUGUUGGCUCGUUCCAGUCUUCUCAUGGCCUGUGUCAUCCUCGUCCUGUUACUGGGCUUGGAGGCCGAGCAUUUGCGUGAGUUUCCUGACAUAGAUGAGGACAGCGACGUAAACAAAGGCCAGGGAGACUUCUUUCCCGAAAAGCGUAACAAAGAAUCUUUGGAGAAAAGACUCCACCGACGAUUUCAGUACGAAAGGCGAUUUAGAUCACGAAAGGGAUGCAAAGACAGGUUUAUACCACUUUGCGGAUGAAAUCGAGACUGAUUCAAUAUAACAUUUGACGGAUAUUUGUAGGAAUCAAAAAACUGACCUGUCCAUAACCUCAAAAGUGAUGUAAUUAAAACAAUAGAGAAAAAAUUGCCCAAAGCAAUGGUAACUUGUAAGAUAUUGGGAGAUUAAUCAGACCGGGGAGAGAAAAGAAGCCUUUACCAGGUUUUCUUCUAAAGAACGAAAAUUUCGUUCCAAUUGGCGCAUGAUAAUACUUUAAUAAAACAUUAGUCAGGUAUGUA